AAAAAGACAUUGAAGGGAAUAAGACAUUUGGCGCGAAUAUACAGAGAGCCGGCAUUUGGUGAAAGCCGGUGUUCCGCCUUUUGUGAAUAGCUCAUCCCGGAGUCGCCGGUUUGAAGAUCCACGCAGUAGAACCGGACGCAGCGGCAGCGUUAGCGGCCUGAGCCUUGUUGGAGGCUUUUUGAGGGCAUCCCGCGCGAGCGGAUGCCGAAAUCAGGGUGGUACCGCGGAUUUUGAUUGAUUCGCCCCGGAC
Molecule: non-coding RNA, 250 nt
Filed under: Clostridiales bacterium
Lineage: Bacteria; Bacillati; Bacillota; Clostridia; Eubacteriales
Description: T-box
Rfam family: T-box leader
About the family: Uncharged tRNA acts as the effector for transcription antitermination of genes in the T-box leader family. T-boxes are found upstream of many aminoacyl-tRNA synthetase genes and some amino acid biosynthetic genes usually in Gram-positive bacteria.
Source: RNAcentral